This 73-nucleotide transfer RNA is filed under the name Dipodomys ordii (Ord's kangaroo rat). It matches the Rfam family "tRNA". Rfam says of the family: Transfer RNA (tRNA) molecules are approximately 80 nucleotides in length. Their secondary structure includes four short double-helical elements and three loops (D, anti-codon, and T loops). The record is from Rfam by way of RNAcentral. Lineage: Eukaryota; Metazoa; Chordata; Mammalia; Rodentia; Heteromyidae.
GGUGAUGUGGCUCAAGUGGUAGAACAUUUGCCUAGCAAGUACAAGGCCCUGAGUUCAAAGCUCAGUAUCACCA